Molecule: transfer RNA, 72 nt
Filed under: Candidatus Weimeria bifida
Lineage: Bacteria; Bacillati; Bacillota; Clostridia; Lachnospirales; Lachnospiraceae
Description: tRNA-Ala
Rfam family: tRNA
About the family: Transfer RNA (tRNA) molecules are approximately 80 nucleotides in length. Their secondary structure includes four short double-helical elements and three loops (D, anti-codon, and T loops).
Source: RNAcentral
GGGGGCGUAGCUCAGUUGGGAGAGCACCUGCCUUGCAAGCAGGGGUCAAGGGUUCGAAUCCCUUCGUCUCCA